RNAcentral lists this ribosomal RNA (508 nucleotides) under uncultured bacterium. RNAcentral's name for it is "partial 16S ribosomal RNA". It matches the Rfam family "Bacterial small subunit ribosomal RNA", at positions 28 to 507 of the family's 1533-position model. The record is from RNAcentral.
GACGAACGCUGGCGGCGUGCCUAAUACAUGCAGGUCGAACGCUUCUUUCCUCCCGAGUGCUUGCACUCAAUUGGAAAGAGGAGUGGCGGACGGGUGAGUAACACGUGGGUAACCUACCCAUCAGAGGGGGAUAACACUUGGAAACAGGUGCUAAUACCGCAUAACAGUUUAUGCCGCAUGGCAUAAGAGUGAAAGGCGCUUUCGGGUGUCGCUGAUGGAUGGACCCGCGGUGCAUUAGCUAGUUGGUGAGGUAACGGCUCACCAAGGCCACGAUGCAUAGCCGACCUGAGAGGGUGAUCGGCCACACUGGGACUGAGACACGGCCCAGACUCCUACGGGAGGCAGCAGUAGGGAAUCUUCGGCAAUGGACGAAAGUCUGACCGAGCAACGCCGCGUGAGUGAAGAAGGUUUUCGGAUCGUAAAACUCUGUUGUUAGAGAAGAACAAGGACGUUAGUAACUGAACGUCCCCUGACGGUAUCUAACCAGAAAGCCACGGCUAACUACGUG